AGGAGGUGGAAGGGACUGGGGGGAAGCUGGGAGAGGGAGGGUUGAGACAUAAAAGAAACAAGGCUGCACCGGGCAAGGCAGCGAACAAAAAGGACAGAGCUGGGACGAGAGCCUGAUCGCAGCCUGCUGCUCGGAGACGUUCCCCACUCUGCCUUGCCCUGCAGCCAGAGCCUUGCAGGAGAAGGCUGGAAGGCCAGCACGCACCCUGCGCCGAGCAGUCCUUCAGCCCAGCCAAAAACACUGCCAGGGUGAAGGAGCCUUCAGCGCGAAAAGAACCAGGGCUUGUGGAAGGGAUGCUUGCUGCUAUUGUUUGCCUUGGGCAUCCGCAUCACUUACCGCUCCCUGGUCUCUCCCCCGUGCCAGCACCCUUGGCUGCCCUUCUCUCUGCCCAUGUCCCCCUGCCACCCGUCUUUUCUUCUCGGCAAGUUUCCUCGCCCACACGCACACGGACAGCACCGCUGUGCAGGGACACACACACGCACUGGGGUGUAUUUCCGAGGUUAGCCAUCUGGAUAUUUCCCCCUUCCCAGCACGGCCGGGCACCCAGCGGGAGGCAAAUCCUGCCUUGGCCUACCUUCCGAGUGCGCCAGGUCUGAACCGCGGGCAGCAGCCGUGCGUCGGGAGCAGGGGCUGUGAAUCAGCAGAGAGGUGCCAGUGCCAGGGAUGCAUGCUGAGGCUGAGCGCUGCGCCCGCCGCCUCGCCUCCUCCAGCGCCCCGCUGCUGUGUUGCUAUGCGAUCACAUCCCCGGGAGGAGCAGCAUCUCUGCCCGCAACAAGAGGUACCCCUGGCUCCGCACGCCGGGGGGGGAACAAGGACAACCCCGAGACCCUUGGAGCUCCCUUGGCGAUCGGCCCCAAGGAGAGGAGGGAGAGGAGUGGAGAUGCAAAGGCAGACACGAGCGCGGGAGGAGGAGACAAAACACACAUGGAGAGAGAAGAAAAGAAAAAUAAGUAAAGGAAGAGCCAGUUCUCCAAGCUGCAGAGAAAGCCUCAUCCAAGAUUUUUUAAAUGUCAGGGUAUUUUGUCUGAGACAGAAGGGUUUGGGCUGCUAACUUGGCUGAGGACAUGAGCAAACCUGGAAUUUGGAUUUUAGUCCAUACGUAACAAACAGUCUGUAAUUCUUUGGAUCUUCCCACCCAAAGAUCCUGAACUCUGCUCAAGAUGUCAGUGAUGCUAUGCCCACAUUACACGAGCAGAAACAAGAGAUCAGUAACUUGGUCAUUCAGACCUGACCCUAGUCCCACGCUGUAGCUGCCAGAGUGUCUCAGCCUCUCCCUGGGAACAUUUAAGCUCAGACAGCAAUAAGGUCUGGUCCUUGUCAGAACAAUCUCCAAGGAGCCUCAGCCUCUCUCCUCGCAGGGCUUUUGGUGGGCUGUGUACAGAUGAAGGUUGGUGAAGGAACGGCCACUGGCCUCAGCUGCCCACCUGUUGGGACAUCAAGGUUACCUGUCAGUCCAUCCGGGGGCCUGACUUUCUAACUAAUCCCACGACACUGUUGGAAGGUGGAUAUGAAUGGAUAUAAAGCUUUACCAGGUUACCAACUGCAAUCUGGAGAAGUCAAAAUACAGCUGAUCUACGGCAAAACGCAUUUGAGAGAGUCCUCAGGAAACCAGCACGAUCCUCACAGUGGUUCCAGUGGGAGUCUCUGGCACGGGGGUGGCCGACUCUGCAGAGCUCCCAUCCAGGUGAGCCCCGAGUCAGGCACACAGCGAGGCGAGGUGCACAGACACCUCAUGUAGCUGCACUGAGCAGAGGAGUAUUUUUAAGUAGCAUCUUUCCUGUAGCUGGUUCCAAAAGGAGCAACACGGCAUCCUUCAAGUACCAACCUGAGAAUGGGUACGUACUCCACACCUCCUGCUUUCAAAAGCCUUUUCAAUAGCUUCCACUUCCACAACAGCCACAGCGAUGCAACACAACUUGUUCUGAAAAGCUGUAUUUAGACCCAAAGAAAUAGACACGGAUAGGAAAGCGGAAUAGAACUGUCUCUCUACCGGGCUAUUUUUGUGCACACACACACAAAUAACUCCUGGGUUAACUAAGGAGCCCGAGGGGAAGGAGAGAGCAGAGCGCCUGAAGGGCUGCCCAGGCAGCCGGAGCACACUGCCCUGCAGAGCCGUGACCGACCCAAACCGCAGCGUGUGUCUGUCACCGACACGGUGAGGAACGUGACAGCUCGGAUAAACACAGCGAGCACGCAUCAGGCCGAGUUGCACAUGCACACGAGACAGGCGUCAGCACGGAGACACGAACAGACAGCUGGAGCCACGCAAAUAAGGUACUUUGCAGUACACGCAUCCUAAAUUAUUGAUAGUUUAGGGAUGGCAAAAUGCAGUGGGAGGAAAUCUCUUGUGUCAGUUUAACUUGAAUUUUGAGACAAAGCAGGAUCUCUGGUGAAAGACUUGCUUCUACGGCUGGGAGCAUCAUCCUAGGUCCCCCAAGUACCUUGUGCUUUAAGGACAUAAUUAGGACAAACAGCCCAGCAAUUCAGAACUCAAAGGGAAUCAAGGAGACAAACUCUGAUUUGCCAUAAGCCCAGCCUUUCAUAUCAGCACCACAACUGUAUGGAGUAUAUGGGAAAAAAUAUGAGAAGAAACGCUCAAUUUGAUGUGCUUUAAGUUCUGCAGAUAACCUCCAAAAAAAUCUCUCAGGGAACUCCAAGAACCCAGCUUCCAGAAGACACAUUGGUACCUACCACACGCCUUUCCCCAAGAGAAUAUGUCAGACAUUCACGUCCUACUAAAUGGCAAAGAUGUACCUUGCUAGCAAAAUUAGGAACCUCCACCUCUCUGAAGGGACGUGCACAAUCCUAAAUAAAACAUACAAACAUACAAUAGAUAAAACA
Molecule: long non-coding RNA, 2841 nt
Filed under: Anas platyrhynchos platyrhynchos (common mallard)
Lineage: Eukaryota; Metazoa; Chordata; Aves; Anseriformes; Anatidae
Description: lncRNA (ENSAPLG00000016546.1)
Source: RNAcentral